RNAcentral lists this ribosomal RNA (2148 nucleotides) under Triticum aestivum (bread wheat). RNAcentral describes it as "partial small subunit ribosomal RNA". The record is from RNAcentral. Lineage: Eukaryota; Viridiplantae; Streptophyta; Magnoliopsida; Poales; Poaceae.
AUGAACCCCCACACCCACCUUCCGUGUUGUCAUCACAAUUGCGGGAGAUUGGCCACUUGCAAGGUUGUUGUGUCGUGGAAGAGUCUCGGCGCCAUUGUCUUCUGGUGCCGCACAUCACCCGUGAAAGUUGUUGGUGUCUUUCUUGUUCUUUAUCCGGGCGUGGCUAAUCAUUGCCUUAUGUGGUGCCACACCUCGCCUGUCUUCAAGGUUUGUAUUCUUGCCUCACAUGUGAUGCCCUUAGAUGUUGCCGGCAACACUCAUCUCCAUGCAAAUGCUUCGUUCUCAUGUGGUGAUAUCCUCCAUGAAAUUAUCCAAUGCUUGUUUUGCUUUCAAUGUCGCCUCGGUAAUGUGAUGCCUUCGGUACCUCGUGAGCGCUCCUCCAUGCAUUGCUCCGAAAUCCUCCUGUUGAACAUAUUCAGGUGGGGACUCCCCUCUCUAGGGCCGGCCCUGAGGGGGGGGGGGCGGCCGUCCCGGGCCCCCAACAUCCAAGGGGCCCCUCGGCAGGACCCAGGUAAUCGAACAGCUCGUGCGUACACGCAUCAUGCAUCGCGCAUCGCGAUCUUCCUUGGGAUUGCGAGACCUAGCGACGAACCCUAUUCCCCAACCCCCAGGCUCCAAUUGAGUUUCCACACCGACGAACUCUGCUCGCCGGUGAGGCCUUGGCUGCGGUCUCCAUCCUCUAGGACGAACUUGCACUCGCGCAUAUCGCAGAGCCGAGGGCCUACUCCUGCCAUGCACGAACCCACAUCACCCUAUUGCCAAAACACAACACGCCAAUCUGACCGAGUAGUCAGCACCCUGCGUUAUCAUGUUGCAUUGUCCAGAAAUUAUCAUGUUGCUCAUACCAUAGUUAUCACGUUGGUCAUGCCAAAGUUACCAAGCCAAACUUUAUUUUUUUCUGAUAUGGCAGAAAUAAGAAAGGAAAGAAACAUCAUUGAGAACAAUGUCACGGUGGUUCUAUGGGUGCUCUACAAGUCAUGGGGAUCGCCACUGGACACUAAGAGGCUUCAAGCUGCUGCUGUUUUGCUUUUUAUCGGUGGGAUUCUCAAAUGCUUUGUCAAGCCGUGGGCUCUCAAGGGCGCCAGCUUUGAUAGCCUUGCUCAUUCUUCUGGCCUUGCUCAGAGGACUACAAAUAGAGAAGAAGACCUCGAAAAAUAUGUUGAGAAAGCAAGGGCUUUCAUUCUAAAUGAAGAUCACUCCUCGACCCAUUGGGUGAAACUCUAUGCACCCGAGAUGCUAUUUAUUGGCUUCGCCUAUCCCUAUUGUGACCGCCUUACAAAUCUGAUGUCAUUUUUUGGGCGUAGAAAUCAAUUAGCUUACGGUUCACUUCAGGAUGGACUCUCCGACAUUUUUAAAGUUCUCUACACGAGAAAGAAGAUCAUAAAUGAGGAUACAUUCUGCGGUAUAUUUGGCUUACUCGUAUUGUUGUUCUGUUAUGUUCCACUAGUUGUGACUUAUUUCAUGAUUGCCGAUUCAAAAGGCAGUGUGGAUAAGACUGUGACAAUUGUGCUAUUGGUUGGCACUGCUUUUCUAGAACGCCUUGCACCAAAAUCUAUGAAUUGUUUUGAAGAGAACGAGUGGCCUACCAUGGUUUCCCAACAUAGCGUUAUAGGGUACUUUGCCCGCAACAGAAGGCACUCCAUGUUGAUGAGAUUCGCAAGAUUCCUUCAAUGCAAAGACUUGCUUGAAAAGUAUUGGCCCAUGGAGCCUAGCUAUUCGUCUGUGGACAUCACAAAGCUAGUCCAUAAAUAUGUUCAAGAUGGGUGGAAGGAGUACAUAAAAGACGCUGAGAGUUAUAGGGAGUUCAAUGACAUAAGGGGUCAGUGGACACUUGUGCGCGAGGGCUGUGACGAAGGCCUGAGCUGGAGCUUAGAGAAGCCGCUCGAUGAGAGUGUUCUUCUCUGCACAUGGCCACAAAUUUCUGCUUUUAUCAGAUGGACAUACCCCCUGAUCAUGAAUUUACUUGCUCAAGGAUUGAUGGAUAUAGGUGAUGAGAGAAAGACAUGGAAGGUGAUCCAAGGCGUGUGGUUGGAGAUGCUCUGCUUUUCGGCUGGCAGAUGUCGAGGGUACUUGCAUGCCAAGUCCCUAGGCUCCAGCGUGGAGUAUCUCUCUUAUGUUUGGCUCCUCCUGGCACAUAUGGGGAUGUAG